AUAGCGACAGCUUCGCAUGAAGCGGUGUGAAAAACUCCGGUGGUGUAAGAUGGACCCGCGUCUGAUUAGCUUGUUGGCGGGGUAACGGCCCACCAAGGCGACGAUCAGUAGCCGGCCUGAGAGGGCGGACGGCCACAUUGGGACUGAGACACGGCCCAGACUCCUACGGAAGGCAGCAG
Molecule: ribosomal RNA, 179 nt
Filed under: uncultured bacterium
Lineage: Bacteria
Description: partial 16S ribosomal RNA
Rfam family: Bacterial small subunit ribosomal RNA
Source: RNAcentral